Molecule: ribosomal RNA, 552 nt
Filed under: uncultured bacterium
Lineage: Bacteria
Description: bacterial SSU rRNA
Rfam family: Bacterial small subunit ribosomal RNA
Source: RNAcentral
UAGGGAAUCUUCGGCAAUGGGGGCAACCCUGACCGAGCAACGCCGCGUGAGUGAAGAAGGUUUUCGGAUCGUAAAGCUCUGUUGUAAGUCAAGAACGAGUGUGAGAGUGGAAAGUUCACACUGUGACGGUAGCUUACCAGAAAGGGACGGCUAACUACGUGCCAGCAGCCGCGGUAAUACGUAAGGUCCCGAGCGUUGUCGAGAUUUAUUGGGAAAACGAGCGCAGGCGGUUUGAUAANNCCGAAGUUAAAGGGGUGGCGCGGCUCAACCAUAGUUCGCUUUGGAAACUGUCAAACUUGAGUGCAGAAGGGGAGAGUGGAAUUCCAUGUGUAGCGGUGAAAUGCGUAGAUAUAUGGAGGAACACCGGUGGCGAAAGCGGCUCUCUGGUCUGUAACUGACGCUGAGGCUCGAAAGCGUGGGGAGCGAACAGGAUUAGAUACCCUGGUAGUCCACGCCGUAAACGAUGAGUGCUAGGUGUUGGAUCCUUUCCGGGAUUCAGUGCCGCAGCUAACGCAUUAAGCACUCCGCCUGGGGAGUACGACCGCAAGGUUG